CCCAGUACCAUUUGAAUAGUCACUUUGGCCACUGCCUGCCCUGAUAUACGCUCAACAUCCCUCUCUGCCAGCCCUAACAUUUUUUGAAUCCCUCCCACUGUCCCCAAAACCUCUAGCCACUACCCCACAGCCCUAGCACUGCUCAACUCUCACCUCCCAAAGGCAGUCCAUCACUUUUAUGGCACUCUUAACUGCUGAACAACCUGCCACCUAACCCCACACUGCAGCAGCUGUCAGGCUCUGACUGUACUGCUGUGUAAAUCGUAGACUCAGCAAAACAAGAAAGUGUGGCUUGACGUUCCCCCCAUUACCCCUGAAACAGGGGAAACUUGUGUUCAUUUCAACUACACUCUGCAUUUCUGAUGGGGCUGGAAUCAGAAUUUCUAGCUAGAAAUGUGAAGCUCAGUACUAACAUUAAAAAAGAAUGAGUGGAGUAGCGAUCACAUCAGAAUAUCCGGGCCAGUGUAUUAAAUGCAGACACUCCUGUUGUUAUUGGUAUCAUUUACAACUGAACGAUGAGUUUCUUAACUGCAGCAGUGGCACACACUGUCUGGAACAUGUCAAAUAAAGAAUUGACCAGGUAAAUUCUCCUGCAUGCUACAAAAAAUAACAAAUGUGGAACUUAUUGAUUCAGUGUGAACUACUCUGCAGUAAAUGGACAUAUAGGGUCUGCGCCUAAACUACUGUGGGUAUAAUGCAUGGCUUCUGGUCUAAACAGAGCAAGGUUAUUAGCAGUUAAGUAGAGGGAGGAUAGUUUGAUAUUCUGGGUCAGGUUCCUUGUGAGAUAACUGUUCUCUUGAUGCUGUUUUUCAUAAUCUGAUAGACCUAUAAUACACUGUUAUUUUCUACUUUAUUUUACAUCUCGAUCCUAUGUGAUUUAACCAUUCUGUCCUCUCUCGUAUAAUAAAUGGCAAAGUUUCACCGUAUUUAUCAGACUUCAAAAAUCACAGGAUGGGAAGAGAUAAUCACAGUUAAAUCAAAGAUUCCAGAAGACGACCUGACAGCAACAUCUCAGGACAAUUUAGAAAUUUGAAAAACAGCAACAAAGCUAAGCAAUGCUGGAACCUCGAUCUGUAACUUAGAGUCAUUGUACAGUUAAUUUGCUGGCGAUUGUUAUCCUUUCCCAGGGAAAGUGUGGUGUUUCCCAUUGCAGUACUUGCUACAUGGUGUUUAAGGCAGCUGCCAAUCUGAUGGUCAUUAUCACUGAGGUUAUACUGUGGAGAUUUCGCUCUUAUUACUACCUGCUGUUUUUUUCCUGGACAUCACUCCUGUGUGCAGUGUUACUGGGGUCCUGCGCUGUGUAGCCAGGGACGGCUGUAUCUGGUUCACCGUCACUUUCUCCUUUGACAGAUUUGUGACCAUUUAUUGUCAGAAGCUAAAAACAAAAUAUUGCUCUGAGAAAACUGAUUGUGUGGUUCUAGCAAAAACCUGCAUCCUGCUCUGUUUGAAAAACACCCCCUUCUGUUUUCACUAUGAACAUCAGGGGAUAAUCAACAAUGUGCCAUUCUACUGUAAAACAAAAUCAACCUACUAUACUGAGACUUGGUGGCAAUAGAUUGGCUUGAUAUGGUUUUAACCCCUUUUACUGCCAUUCGCUUUAAUUCUGUCGCUCAAUGCUGUGACACACAUUUUAGUGACCAGUCGAGUCCAGAAGAGGCUGAAGGGUGAGAGCAAGGGAGAGAAUCGCAGAGACCCAGAGAUCAGAAGGAAGUCUGUGAUUUUGCUUUUCACCAUCUCUGGGAGCUUCAUCCUGCUGUGGUUAAUGUAUGUUGUACAUUUCUUAUAUUAUGUCAUUCUAGAUAUCAAACCUGCAAAUUACUCACCUUUUCUACAUAACUUCAGAAGAAUUGGGUUUAUGCUACAGAAUCUAAGUUGUUGCAUAAAUAAUAGUGUUUGUGCAGCAACAUUGUCUAGGUUCAGAGCGAAGAUCAGUAAUGCAGUAAAAUACAUGGUUGUACGAAAUCCUUGUGUUGUGAAUAAACAAAACUCCUGAGUGAAGCCCACAGGUGAAUCCUAUUGUUUCCAGAGCAUGAAAUAUUUUUAUUCAUCUGUGGAUGUGGAUGUUGCUGUUUGGUCCAGACUUUAAUUGCUGAAGCCUAGUUGCCCCUUGAGAAGAUGGUGGUGAGUUGCCUUCUUGAAUACUGUAGUCCAAGUGUUAGACCCGUAAUGCCCUUCGGGAGGGAAUUUCAGAAUUUUGACCCAGCAUCCAAGUCGAA
Molecule: long non-coding RNA, 2216 nt
Organism: Rhincodon typus (whale shark)
Lineage: Eukaryota; Metazoa; Chordata; Chondrichthyes; Orectolobiformes; Rhincodontidae
Exons: 3
Source: RefSeq, a predicted model, not a curated record